UCAAGUCCCCUCCACCUCACACCCAGAAACCCAUGACAGCAGAAGACAAAAGCCAGACAAUGAACCAAAAGCUGAAGUUUUUCCAUGAUGUCUACUGAUCCAUGCCACUGAUUAGAAUCACACAGUUUUCUGACUUUCCCUUCUCAAAUAGCUCAGAACUCAAGUCUUGAUUCUGUUGGCUCCUCUGAAGACUUAAAGCGGAAAAAAAGAUUUGCCCUCAACCCUUCCUACAGAAAUUGCUCUGCUCCUGAGGACUUGAU
RNAcentral lists this long non-coding RNA (260 nucleotides) under Bos taurus (domestic cattle). Its description in RNAcentral is "long non-coding RNA NONBTAT022397". The record is from RNAcentral. Lineage: Eukaryota; Metazoa; Chordata; Mammalia; Artiodactyla; Bovidae.